AUUGAACGCUGGCGGCAGGCUUAACACAUGCAAGUCGAACGGUAACAGGAAGAAAGCUUGCUUUCUUUGCUGACGAGUGGCGGACGGGUGAGUAAUGCUUGGGAAUCUGGCUUAUGGAGGGGGAUAACUACGGGAAACUGUAGCUAAUACCGCGUAAUAUCGAGAGAUUAAAGGGUGGGACCGCAAGGCCACCUGCCAUGAGAUGAGCCCAAGUGGGAUUAGGUAGUUGGUGAGGUAAAGGCUCACCAAGCCGACGAUCUCUAGCUGGUCUGAGAGGAUGACCAGCCACACUGGGACUGAGACACGGCCCAGACUCCUACGGGAGGCAGCAGUGGGGAAUAUUGCGCAAUGGGGGCAACCCUGACGCAGCCAUGCCGCGUGAAUGAAGAAGGCCUUCGGGUUGUAAAGUUCUUUCGGUAGCGAGGAAGGCACUUAGUUUAAUAGACUAAGUGAUUGACGUAACUACAGAAG
RNAcentral lists this ribosomal RNA (471 nucleotides) under Haemophilus sp. oral taxon C82. Its description in RNAcentral is "bacterial SSU rRNA". It matches the Rfam family "Bacterial small subunit ribosomal RNA", at positions 30 to 487 of the family's 1533-position model. Lineage: Bacteria; Pseudomonadati; Pseudomonadota; Gammaproteobacteria; Pasteurellales; Pasteurellaceae. The record is from RNAcentral.